CUUCUUUGCUGGAAGCCAUUUGGUAAUGUUUACAUCUAAGGAAGUGAAGUGAUGGUCAUGAGUGCUGUCAUGUUUGGACACAACAAGUACAAAGUACAGAGCUCACUUAUCUAGCAGCCCUAAGAGUACAAAUGAGCGUAUAAAAUACCACUUUUUUUUCAGCCCUUUGGUUGUUAUUAAGUGUUUCAGGCUGUCCCUUUACAUGAAAGUCAAACCAACGUGACAGCCUAUUUGCAUCUGUGUUUUUAUCGUACAGCUGGCAGGAAGAGCUGUAGCCUGGGAGGAAAUCCUUCUGAAGGCUUACAGAAAUCGCUCUGGGGGGAAAAAAUCGCUAUUGUCAGAAUCUGCCAGUCUCCCUGGUACCUGUGACUUGGCGACCUACAUAUACAAAUCUACAUGUACACAUUACAAAAUAAAAAUGCUGAAAUAACAUUUGGACAGCUGCUCUACUUUCAUCAGAAGUCUUCCACUUGCUCCCUCCAGCACUGCAAUGCUGGUUGCAUCAAUGCCCCCUGGAGGCCAGCUGGAAAAGGGGCAGUUUAGAGGUGACACUGCCAUCUGGCUUUUGAAAUUAAAAGCAGAUCUCUAAAUGUGUAUCUAGGGUCGUUUAUUUAUUUAUUUAUUGGUCAUAUAGCAUCUAACAUCUGAAUCUGACCCCUCUGCACAUGCAUUAUAAUCACAAGUCAGUGUGACCAGUGACUCCCCCCCCCCCCUGAAGUUUUCCUACUUGAGCAUUCUCCUCAAGACCAUUCCCACAGUUUCAUGCAGUGGUCCAGUCACGAGUCACGAGGGUCAGGGGAAGAAAUGAAAGAACGCUUUUCUGAGCCUAUACCUCACACAACAGGAAAUUUUACAGUGCAUCGAUUAUAGUGUUUGUAAGAAGGUUGAAGAUGAUUGCUCAGAUACAUUUAUGCUCUCUGGCACGGCUUGGCUAUUGUGCCUGCUCCAUUCACUUAAAUUUUAUUGCAAAACAAACACAUUCAUUACACAACAUUUCUAACUGUAAGCCCAG
Ictalurus punctatus (channel catfish) is the source of this 1012-nucleotide long non-coding RNA. The record is from Ensembl. Lineage: Eukaryota; Metazoa; Chordata; Actinopteri; Siluriformes; Ictaluridae.